AUAAAUUAAAGUAAAUAAUAAAGGGCGUAUGGUGGAUGCCUAGGCUCUCAGAGGCGAUGAAGGACGUGAUAAGCUGCGAAAAGCUCCGUUUAGGUGCAAAUAACCUUUGAUGCGGAGAUCUCCGAAU
RNAcentral lists this ribosomal RNA (127 nucleotides) under Odoribacter splanchnicus. RNAcentral describes it as "partial 23S ribosomal RNA". It matches the Rfam family "Bacterial large subunit ribosomal RNA", at positions 1 to 119 of the family's 2925-position model. The record is from RNAcentral. Lineage: Bacteria; Pseudomonadati; Bacteroidota; Bacteroidia; Bacteroidales; Odoribacteraceae.